Molecule: ribosomal RNA, 253 nt
Filed under: uncultured bacterium
Lineage: Bacteria
Description: partial 16S ribosomal RNA
Rfam family: Bacterial small subunit ribosomal RNA
Source: RNAcentral
GACGUAGGGCGCGAGCGUUGUCCGGAUUUAUUGGGCGUAAAGAGCUCGUAGGCGGCUUGUCACGUCGGGUGUGAAAGCCCGGGGCUUAACCCCGGGUCUGCAUUCGAUACGGGCAGGCUAGAGUGUGGUAGGGGAGAUCGGAAUUCCUGGUGUAGCGGUGAAAUGCGCAGAUAUCAGGAGGAACACCGGUGGCGAAGGCGGAUCUCUGGACCAUUACUGACGCUGAGGAGCGAAAGCGUGGGGAGCGAACAGG